UAUAAUCUACAUAAUAUUGUCUGUAGCAUAACAGAAUCUAUGUCAUAUGUUAUAACCACAUUCAAAUGAGCUAGGAACAUUAUAAAUGUAUAUAUUAUGUCAUUAUUGAAACGUGACCUAUAUUGAAAUAUUGAAUUGUUUUUAAAAAUUAAAUAAAAAAUUAUGGAAACAUUAUCCAAGCUAAAGCUACAUAAUUCGACAAAUCUCAAAAAAUAAGUAGUGUUACUGGCUUGCAAGAAAAGCAACAGCAGUUCGCUAGACGUCAAAAUGGUGCUAGUUGUCAGGCUUUUCUUUCUGUCGUAGUUUCAAAAAUACGAAAAAUAAGUGUAUGGAAUACGAAAUUUUAUGUAUUAACAUACAAGCAGUGUGUUUUUGUUUUUAAAUUUAACGAAAGUAAAGCUUUUCGUGAUGUACUUAGUUGAAAUAACAUAAUUUUUUCAUUUUGAAAUGGCGGAUGACACGAAUCGUCGCGACGCAAUAAAUAUGGCCGCUGAAAUGGUUUAUUUACGUGGCAUUUAAUCACAAAUCUUUGAUUUUUCGUCUAAAAGAGGAUUACGUUUAAUUACAUAUGAAGUUACGUUGGCAGUAUUGGACACGCUUGAAUGUUGGCAGUAUACGAAAAGGCGGGCUUUUCAAAAUAUCGCUGUAUAAUUUGGUUCAUUGAAUCCUUUCUAGCUAAACUUUAUUUUAUUCAAAACAUUAAUUAAUGUAUAUAAUUAAUGAAAGUGUAUAAUAAACAGCUAAAUAAAACUAUAAA
Long non-coding RNA from Pieris rapae (cabbage white), 757 nucleotides. RefSeq lists it as uncharacterized. The record is from RefSeq and is a predicted model, not a curated record. NCBI's taxonomy places the organism in Eukaryota, Metazoa, Arthropoda, Insecta, Lepidoptera, Pieridae. The transcript has 2 exons.